This 2219-nucleotide long non-coding RNA is filed under the name Canis lupus familiaris (dog). RNAcentral's name for it is "lncRNA (ENSCAFG00845010817.1)". Lineage: Eukaryota; Metazoa; Chordata; Mammalia; Carnivora; Canidae. The record is from RNAcentral.
UUCCAUGGGAACCUAGCUUUUUUUUUUUUAAGAUUUUAUUUAUUUAUUCAUGAGAGACACACACACAGAGAGAGAGAGAGAGAGAGAGAGAGAGAGAGAGAGGCAGAGACACAGGCAGAGGGAGAAGCAGGCUCCAUGCAGGGAGCCCGACGCGGGACUCGAUCCCGGGACUCCAGGAUCGCGCCUUGAGUUGAAGGCAGGCGCUCUACCGCGGAGCCACGCAGCUGUCCCAGGGCACUAGCUCCUUAACUUGGAGGACCGCGUGGCCGCGCUCCCCGUCCGGUGCCCUCCAGCUGGGACGGAGUCUGCAGAGAGUUGAGGGGCAGAGUAGGGGGCUGGAGGAGAGGGGGCACCCGGGACCAGCACUCCCAAAUCCCUGGCGUCCAGCCGUCCGCGCGCUCCCGGGGCCUCGGCGUUCCGAGGCGAGGUGGCCCCGGGAGGCCGGGGUUGGCGGGGCCAGUGUCCGGCCGAGCCUGCGCGCCGCCGACAGAGGAUAUGGGGUCAUUACCCCCUCAUUGCACACCAUGUGCAAGAAGAAAGAAAGGGAACUGCAUGGUCUGAACGACAAUCUCAGCUCAGGAUCUGGAGUCAGAGCAACUUGGGAGACCCAUAGUGAGCAGUUACAUCAUCUUCCUGGCAGCCUGUGCUCCCAUCCUAGAGUCCCGUUCUUCCUCUCUGUCCUGUCCCUCCAGUUUGCCACCCCACUGGAUGCAGGUAAGUGUCUGCUGGGUGUGUCAGGAUUCCUGUGUAACUAAGGGCCACGUGAAGCUUUACUCACUCCAGACCUGGCCCUUGAGAGGAGGUUACCACAGUUCAGUGCCUGCCUUGGGGGCCUACAUCAGCCUGCUUCAGGGACAUGCUGGUCCUUUACAGUUUACAGCAGCCAGAAAGUCUUAUUUUAUGACUUUCCCUUUCCCAUCUGAGGGAUCUGAGUUUUUUAGGUUAUAGACCAAAGAGCCAAAUGGUGGCAUUGAGAGCAGUGAUCUUCCCACUGUCUUGGCUAUAACUAAAGGGGGUGCCAUCUGCCUCCUGGUAAGGCCAUGGUCCUAAACUAACCUGAAAGUAGACCUGUACUCCCCUUUCUUCCCAUUUCAACCAGAGUUCCCUACCCAUUUUCCUGAGUUUUCCAGCCUGGCCCAGCUGCUCUCUGUUAUUAGAUGUAUUUGGCCAGAGUCUCUCACUCUCAUGCCCUCACUAGACACUGACUUGCUCCCAUGGCAGCAUGUCACACCAGGCUAGUGCUCCUCCCCCUACUCUGCCAGAUUGGCCUGCUCCUAGGUAGCCACCUUGGAUCACUGGGACACCAUAGGGGAUUCUGUAUCUGGUUGGAGGACUAAGAAUACAAAGAUAUUCUCCCAUUGGGUGGGGAGGCAAGUCAGCAAAGUUUGUCCAGUGAGAUUCCCUGGCCUCAGUAAAAAUGCCACACUCCACUCCAUUGGCACACCUGGCAGCAGCUCAGUGAGCCUCAGAGGUAAAGAUGGGUAGGUAGGUGUGGCAGGAAGGGGCACAUGGAACAAACCUGGAUGCAAGCAAGGCACCAUUUGCUGGCCUAACUCAAGUCAGACUUACUUGUGGGGGUGGGGGACAGGUUGGGUGAAGGAAGAUGUCCCAAAAGGCCAGGGAGACAGAGCUGAUUAUAUGUAUCCCACAAAAUUUAUGUGGCCUGAGAAGGCUUGGAACUGAGUGGGCAUGCUCAGGGCAGUAGCUGCCUGUCUACCCCGGAAGCACAUACAGCUGUGCAGUUCAUUUCUUGGUUUGGUGGAUUGACUCCCAUCUACCAAAGGCCUAGGAGACCUUCUCUAUAGCUUGUGGCAUGAACUAUAUUCAUAAUGUUGUGCACUAUAACCACUGUCCAUUUUUAGAAUGGAUAGAGAAUGAGAGUGGGGAGAGGGGAAGAGGAGAGGAGAGAGAGAGAGAGAGAGAGAGAGAAGCAGACUCCCCACUGAGUGCAGAGCCAACAUGGGGCUCGGAACCAAAGUCAAAAGUUGGAUGCUCAACCAACUAAGCCACCCAGGCACCCCUCCAUUCUACUUUCUAUCUUCAUAAAUUUGCUUAUCCUACAUACCUCACGUCAGUGGAAUCAUUCAAUAUUUGUCAUUUUGUAUCUGGCUCACACCACUUAGCAUAAUAUCUUCAAGAUUCACCUAUGCUUCUAGCGUGUGCCAGAAUUGAAGGCAGAAUAACAUUCUACCACAUGGAUAGACCACAUUUUGUUUAGC